CACGUAGGGGGCGAGCGUUGUCCGGAUUUAUUGGGCGUAAAGAGCUCGUAGGCGGUGUGUCACGUCGGCCGUGAAAACCUGCAGCUUAACUGUGGGCGUGCGGUCGAUACGGGCAUCACUGGAGUUCGGCAGGGGAGACUGGAAUUCCUGGUGUAGCGGUGAAAUGCGCAGAUAUCAGGAGGAACACCGGUGGCGAAGGCGGGUCUCUGGGCCGAUACUGACGCUGAGGAGCGAAAGCGUGGGGAGCGAACAGG
RNAcentral lists this ribosomal RNA (254 nucleotides) under uncultured bacterium. Its description in RNAcentral is "partial 16S ribosomal RNA". It matches the Rfam family "Bacterial small subunit ribosomal RNA", at positions 524 to 776 of the family's 1533-position model. The record is from RNAcentral.